Molecule: long non-coding RNA, 750 nt
Filed under: Olea europaea (common olive)
Lineage: Eukaryota; Viridiplantae; Streptophyta; Magnoliopsida; Lamiales; Oleaceae
Description: long non-coding RNA (OEUR_LNC014567)
Source: RNAcentral
GGAGCUAACUAGCUAAUCCUCUAUCAGUAUUCUAAUUAAGUAUAUACAACAAGAGACAGCAAAAUGGUAAAGUGUUGCAACAUGCAACAAAAUCUAGCUAGCUAGUCUUGUUUUCCUUGUAUUAAUUUAUUAUAUGCUUUAUAUUGUUUUUAUUUUUAUUUUGUAACAGCUUUAAUUUGAUUGAUGACUCUGUUAAUCAAUCUUCAGGUAGUCAUGAAGACUUUGAUUGUUGUUAUUUUUGCCUCUAUGUUGAUCCUUGGAACUAUUCAUGAAUCCCAUGCACAAAUUCUUCCAGUAAACAGUCGUCGGUUUCUUAGCAGUGGAGGUCCUGAUCGAGUUGUCCCUGGCGGCCCAAAUGCAUGUGGUAAAGAUUGUCAUCAUCCUAGUACAUACAGUGGAAAGACUCCUCCUGGUGAAGUGGAUCUUGCAGAAUAUUACAACCCACCGGGAUACUAAACUUGUGGGCUCUAUAUAUAUAUAUAUAUAUGCGUGUGUAUAUAUUGUGUGUUUGAUUGGAAAUAAGGGGACCAACAUGCAUGUGGGGCCCAUGGAAGUUUCACCGGGUUUGAAGUAGGAUGAGCUUGUUUAAUAACGUGUCUUGUCUGUGUAUAACAGCAAAAUCUUGUGCUUUAAUUUACCUUAAUUUUUAUGGCCAAUGGAAGUUUAUUACAUGUACUUGUUUGAGUUCAACCAAUAAGCUUACAAGCUGAGAUGUGGGAAGAAAUAGUGUAAAUAAAGUUUGAUUGAUUU